This 253-nucleotide ribosomal RNA is filed under the name uncultured bacterium. RNAcentral's name for it is "partial 16S ribosomal RNA". It matches the Rfam family "Bacterial small subunit ribosomal RNA", at positions 524 to 776 of the family's 1533-position model. The record is from RNAcentral. RNAcentral also lists the same sequence under 1 other name.
UACAGAGGCCUCAAGCGUUGUUCGGAAUUACUGGGCGUAAAGGGAAUGUAGGUGGUUGCGUAAGUUAGAUGUGAAAGCCCUGGGCUUAACCUGGGAACUGCAUUUAAUACUGCGUGACUUGAGUGCGAUAGAGGAGAGCGGAAUUCCUAGUGUAGGAGUGAAAUCCGUAGAUAUUAGGAGGAAUACCGAUGGCGAAGGCAGCUCUCUGGCUCGUAACUGACACUGAGAUUCGAAAGCGUGGGUAGCAAACAGG